Molecule: long non-coding RNA, 437 nt
Filed under: Rhinopithecus bieti (black snub-nosed monkey)
Lineage: Eukaryota; Metazoa; Chordata; Mammalia; Primates; Cercopithecidae
Description: lncRNA (ENSRBIG00000046647.1)
Source: RNAcentral
AUAGAAAUAUGUUUUUUCCAUUUUUACAGGCAAACCACUUCAAUAGAACAUGGCUGGCGGCCAUAUGGACAUAUAUGAAUGCAACAAUUAAUUCAGCAAAGAAAGCUGCUUGUGGCAAGUCUUGAAUAUGCCAUUCCAGGUAGUGCUUUGAUGAUAAAUGAGGAGAAGAUUGCAAAGAAAAUGACAGCAACAUUUAUAAAAAGGUUUUGCCUCAAGGUUGUCCUAUCCUGGAUGAUCCCUUCAGCUCUAACAUUUGCAGAAUCAAAGCUUUAGCUUCCAGUCAUCACUGUUCACAUGCAGGGAGCACACAUGGUGUGUGGUUAGGAUCUUCUCCCUUUAGAAUUCCUCGGCAUCAAGAGUAGAUAAAAGGAGAAAUAAAAGUAUCAGGAUAUUAUGUGGGCUUCAUGUGCAUUUUACUGAAAGAUAACUGUUUAACC